UGGGGAAUAUUGGACAAUGGGCGCAAGCGUGAUCCAGCCAUGCCGCGUGAGUGAAGAAGGCCUUAGGGUUGUAAAGCUCUUUCAGAUGGGAAGAUGAUGACGGUAACAUCAGAAGAAGCCCCGGCUAAUUUCGUGCCAGCAGCCGCGGUAAUACGAAAGGGGCAAGCGUUGUUCGGAUUUACUGGGUGUAAAGGGCACGCAGGCGGUCUUGCCAGUCAGGGGUGAAAGCCCGGGGCUCAACCCCGGAACUGCCUUUGAUACUGCGAGAAUAGAGACUGGGAGAGGGGGGUGGAAUUCCCAGUGUAGAGGAGAAAUUCGUAGAUAUUGGGAGGAACACCAGGGGGGAAGGCGUCCACCUGGACUAGAUCUGACGCUCAGGUGAGAAAGCGUGGGGAGCAAACAGGAAUAGAUACC
Molecule: ribosomal RNA, 414 nt
Filed under: uncultured bacterium
Lineage: Bacteria
Description: bacterial SSU rRNA
Rfam family: Bacterial small subunit ribosomal RNA
Source: RNAcentral